Molecule: ribosomal RNA, 478 nt
Filed under: uncultured bacterium
Lineage: Bacteria
Description: partial 16S ribosomal RNA
Rfam family: Bacterial small subunit ribosomal RNA
Source: RNAcentral
GAUGAACGCUGGCGGCGUGCCUAAUACAUGCAAGUCGAGCGAACGGACGAGAAGCUUGCUACACUAAUGGUAACGGCGGAAGGGAGAGUAGCAUGUGGAUAACCUACCUAUAAGACUAGGAUAACAUAGGGAAACCAGAACUGAUAACGGACAAUAUUUUGAACGGGGUGGUUCAAAAGUGAAAGACGGUGUUGAUGUCACUUAUAGAUGGACUCGCGCUGUAUCAGCUAGUUGGUAGGGUGGCGGCCUACCAAGGCAGCGAUGCGUAGCCGACCUGAGAGGGUGACCGGACACAUUGGGACUGAGAUACGGGCCAGACUCCUACGGGAGGCAACAGUGGGGAAUAUUGCACAAUGGGCGCAAGCCUGAUGCAGCAACGCCGCGUGCGGGAUGACGGCCUUCGGGUUGUAAACCGCUUUCAGCAGGGACGAAGCUUUUUGUGACGGUACCUGCAGAAGAAGCACCGGCUAACUACGUG